UCGAGAAGUGACAUGGAAAAAUGCGUCUUCAUUGCAGGGUAUCGUGAGACCACCCAUUGAAUGUUGAAAUCCAAAUUCUUCCUCUGAUAUCUGAAGCAAUUCCUGGAACAAACUGUGAUUCAGAGUGCAGUUUGUGGUACUGCUUCACACUUGAAAUAAUUGGUGGUAAACGAAUAAUACCCAUCACUAGAUCUUGUUAUUAAAGGCUUGUUAAUGAAUUGAGAAAGAUAAUGCAGUUAAACUGUUUGAUGAUUUGUCUGACUAUAUAUUUAUAAUAGCUACUGGAAGAUGAUGUUGCGUUCCACCGCAGCUCAGCCUGUCCUUGUGUACAAUUGGUAUCAUGUGAAAUGGGUCCAACUUCACAUGUUUGCUUCAUCAUCAACAAAUAAAAUACUCCUACCCAAUUCCCAGACAAUUAUUGAAUUCCUUCCAAAAUCUGAUGAAACAGCCAAAUUGUGAAUUUAAGUUCCUUCCCCACACGACUUUGACCUGACUACGACUACUUGAGGUCUCAGGUUCAAAACUUAUGUUUUAUAUUUGAUGGACAAAGUUACUUGAUAUUAUUAUUGGUGGGAAAUGACAUA
This is a long non-coding RNA of Solanum pennellii, 584 nucleotides long. RefSeq lists it as uncharacterized. The transcript is spliced from 2 exons. NCBI's taxonomy places the organism in Eukaryota, Viridiplantae, Streptophyta, Magnoliopsida, Solanales, Solanaceae. The record is from RefSeq and is a predicted model, not a curated record.